This 440-nucleotide ribosomal RNA is filed under the name uncultured bacterium. RNAcentral describes it as "partial 16S ribosomal RNA". It matches the Rfam family "Bacterial small subunit ribosomal RNA", at positions 28 to 507 of the family's 1533-position model. The record is from RNAcentral.
GACGAACGCUGGCGGCGUGCCUAAUGCAUGCAAGUCGCACGCGGCACCUUCGGGUGCUGAGUGGCGAACGGCUGAGGAACACGUGGGGACCUGUCCGGGAGUGGGGGACAACACCGCGAAAGCGGUGCUAAUCCCGCAUACGCUCUGAGGAGGAAAGCCGAAAGGCGCUCCCGGGUGGCCCUGCGGCCCAUCAGGUUGUUGGUGGGGUAACGGCCUACCAAGCCAAUGACGGGUCGCUGGUCUGUGAGGACGACCAGCCAGACUGGGACUGGGACACGGCCCAGACUCCUACGGGAGGCAGCAGCAAGGAAUUUUCGGCAAUGGGCGCAAGCCUGACCGAGCAACGCCGCGUGCAGGAAGACGGCCUUCGGGUUGUAAACUGCUUUUGCUAGGGAUGAUAGCAGACAGUACCUGGCGAAUCAGCCCCGGCUAACUCUGUG